Molecule: ribosomal RNA, 411 nt
Filed under: Cryptosporidium parvum
Lineage: Eukaryota; Apicomplexa; Conoidasida; Eucoccidiorida; Cryptosporidiidae
Description: SSU rRNA
Rfam family: Eukaryotic small subunit ribosomal RNA
Source: RNAcentral
AAAUUACCCAAUCCUAAUACAGGGAGGUAGUGACAAGAAAUAACAAUACAGGACUUUUUGGUUUUGUAAUUGGAAUGAGUUAAGUAUAAACCCCUUUACAAGUAUCAAUUGAAGGGCAAGUCUGGUGCCAGCAGCCGCGGUAAUUCCAGCUCCAAUAGCGUAUAUUAAAGUUGUUGCAGUUAAAAAGCUCGUAGUUGGAUUUCUGUUAAUAAUUUAUAUAAAAUAUUUUGAUGAAUAUUUAUAUAAUAUUAACAUAAUUCAUAUUACUAUAUAUUUUAGUAUAUGAAAUUUUACUUUGAGAAAAUUAGAGUGCUUAAAGCAGGCAUAUGCCUUGAAUACUCCAGCAUGGAAUAAUAUAAAAGAUUUUUAUCUUUUUUAUUGGUUCUAAGAUAAAAAUAAUGAUUAAUAGGG